CAUGUAGGCGGGCUUUUAAGUCCGACGUGAAAAUGCGGGGCUUAACCCCGUAUGGCGUUGGAUACUGGGAGUCUUGAGUGCAGGAGAGGAAAGGGGAAUUCCCAGUGUAGCGGUGAAAUGCGUAGAUAUUGGGAGGAACACCAGUGGCGAAGGCGCCUUUCUGGACUGUGUCUGACGCUGAGAUGCGAAAGCCAGGGUAGCAAACG
Molecule: ribosomal RNA, 206 nt
Filed under: uncultured bacterium
Lineage: Bacteria
Description: partial 16S ribosomal RNA
Rfam family: Bacterial small subunit ribosomal RNA
Source: RNAcentral